UUACUUCAACAAAUUAUAUCUGCCUCCUUCCAUUCUUCCGACAAAGGCGUUAAGAGAAACUUUCCUGGGUGGCAACUUAAUUUUCUUGCCAAACAAACACGCUUCUCUCCCAAUUUCGACUCGCUGAUAAUAAAUGGAAAAAAAAGAACAGAAAAUUUAACUCAAGAGUUGACCUGUUACUCUUAGCUUACAGUUUUGUCAUAUAGCUGUUUUGCUUUUGUGACCCAGAAGUUACAAUUUACACCCGACGCCAUUAAAUUUCUAAGACUUCAAAUUCUCACAAUUUUUUUUUGGUUUUGAAACUUAGCAACCUUUGGAGGCUAUCAUUACCCAUUAAAUUCCCUUGCCAAUUCCAGAUUUUCAAGCCCUCCCUCCUCACGCGGUGCUGUUAGGGUCCAAAAUAAGGGAAGUGUCUCGACAGAAAACAUUCCAGUACACUACCCCCAGGGCGUGCAGUCCUCUGUCCAGCAACGUGACACAGGUUUUUUUUCAAUCCAGAUUUCUUCUCCAAGGAGUCGGAGAUACACUAUAUUUCGUAACGGAAUUCUUGAGCUUUCUCGAUUAUAAAUGGGCCGUUCUCGUGGCAAUUUUCACUCUGUUGAUGAGGACCCAACCCAGAGAUCAAGGAGAAAGAAGAACUCCGCUAGUGGAGAAAAUUUAGAAUCUUCAUCAGCAGGUCAGGGAACAGGUGAGGGGAAAAGGGCUUUGUACCAUUGCAAUUAUUGCAACAAAGAUAUAACUGGGAAGAUCCGAAUCAAGUGCGCGAUGUGCCCUGACUUUGACUUAUGUAUAGAGUGCUUCUCUGUUGGAGCUGAGGUGACACCUCAUAAAAGCAAUCACCCUUACAGGGUUAUGGAUAAUUUGUCUUUCCCUCUUAUUUGCCCUGACUGGAAUGCAGAUGAUGAAAUACUACUUCUGGAGGGAAUUGAAAUGUAUGGACUGGGAAAUUGGGCAGAAGUUGCUGAGCAUGUGGGGACAAAGAGUAAAGAACUGUGUAUCGAACACUAUACCAAUAUAUAUAUGAACUCUCCAUUUUUCCCUCUUCCAGACAUGUCUCAUGUAGUCGGGAAAAACAGAAAGGAGCUUCUUGCUAUGGCCAAAGGACAUGGAGAGGACAAAAAGGGUUUGUUAUAAUUUUUACAUAAAUUCCCCCUUAUUAUUUUUCUUCUUCUCUUUUUCCUUUCCUUUGUAGUAUGAGUCAGUGUGGUUGUACUUAUCAUAAUGCUAUGACCAUUCUUUAUAGAAUCUCUUUUUUAUAAAUUCUGUUUGAGUCAUAGGAUCUUCUAUGCUUGGAGAGCAUACUGUGAAGGAGGAGUCUCCAUUUUCUCCCUCCAGAGUCAAAGUUGAAGAAAUGCAUAAAGGUGGUCCUUCUGGGCGGUUACUAUCAAAUUUAAAUGCAGGUAAACUAUUAUGUAAUCAUGAUUAGCUUCUGAUGUUUUAUUCAAAAUGAAAUCCGAAAAGUCUUAUGGCUAUGAUCAACUGUCUGCCUUGUUUUGUUAAACUUCAGAUGUAGAAUCUGGGGUGCAUCCUAAUAGCUUAGAUGCAGCAGCAACAGCUGCUAUUAAGAAGGCAUCCAAAAUGGCCCAUGUUAAAGAUGGCCUCAGUGUUGUUAAAGUGGAAGGUCUGAUAUUGACAUUUCAUUCCUUGAGUAGAUUUCAUACUUGUUUUAUGAUGGUGGUGAAGUAGCAAUGCUUUAGGCCCUCAUAGAAUGUUUCUUCAUGAUGGCAAUUGUGGCAGAUUUGUGUAAUAUCAUAAAAUCAAUGCAUUAGUAAUUUUAUGUUGUUCUAGCUUUGGCAAAAUGAUACAUUUGCUGCAAUUUCUGUUAGUUCAUUUCCAAGUCAAAAGGUUACCUGCUGAAAUAUAGCUUACCCGGUUUAGGUAUUCUGAUGGAAGACUAGAAUGUGUACAGCUGAUAGAUAAUCAUGUUUUACUAAUGCUGUGUUGUCUAUAGACAUAAUAUGAAUUUGGUAGAACCACUCUAUUUUGAUCGUGACAAAUAUUGCUAGUAUUCCAUCAUAUUAUUUUUCUUUUGUUGGCAGAUCCUCAAACAGACAGGAGUUUUAAGGGGAAAAAAUUGAAUUCUUCUGGGAAUGACGGCUCUUUAGUUGAGUUGAGUGGUUAUAACCCCAAACGACAGGAAUUUGAUACUGAAUAUGAUAAUGAUGCAGAGCAGUUGCUUGCUGAGAUGGAAUUUAAAGAUACUGAUACUGAUGAUGAGCAUGAGCUGAAGUUGCGAGUUCUACGUAUCUAUUCAAAGAGGCUUGAUGAAAGAAAACGCAGAAAAGAUUUUAUUUUAGAAAGAAAUUUGCUAUAUCCAAAUCGUUUUGAGAAGGAUUUAUCUCCAGAGGAGAGGGCGCUAUGCCGACGUUAUGAUGUCUUCAUGCGUUUUCAUUCCAAGGAAGAACAUGAAGAUUUGCUUCAGACUGUUAUAGCAGAGCAUAGAACUCUGAAAAGGAUUCAAGAACUUAAGGAAGCCCGAGCUGCUGGUUGUCGUACAUCUGCCGAGGCGGAUAAAUAUCUUGAAGAGAAAAGGAAAAGGGAAGCUGAAGAAAGUUCUCACAGAGCAAAAGAAAGUGUCCAGGUUGGUCCAAGCAACCAGGGAGGUCCAAGCGUUUUCAUGGCUUCAGAGUCUGUCGGCAAGGAUUCAACUACGAGACCUGCUGGACACUAUGUUAAUGAUAUGGAUGCACUGGGCUUUUAUGAAACACAAUUACUAUCUGAAGCUGAGAAACGCCUCUGUCAUGAGAUAAAGUUGCCCCCACCUCUCUAUCUUAAGAUGCAGGAGGUUAUGACAAAAGAAAUCUUCAGUGGCAAUGUCACUAAGAAAUCUGAUGCUCAUCCCUUAUUCAAGCUUGAAGCCAGCAAAAUUGACCGAGUUUAUGAUGUUCUUGUGAAAAAGGGGAUUGCGCAACCAUGAUACCUCAUGUUUGUUCUGAAUCUAAACUCCAUUCAUUCUCCCUGAGAAAUGAAAAUAUACUUAAUUCUAUUAAAAAAAAAAGGUAAAAAACGAGAGCCUUUUCAAGGUGAAGACCGGUCUUUUACUGCUCAUGAAGGUUCACAUUGCAGGGUGGGAGGAUGGUGUAUCACUCCAUGGAUACACAUUCUACAAGAGAGAAGGGUUAUUUUUCAGUCAGAAGAUGUAAUUUAUGCUCUUUAAAUUACAUGAGAAGUCUUACACAAUGCUUUGGUUCACAAGCUUAUGAUAAAAGGUGGAUCAUUUGCUUUGGUCUCUUCAAAUGUUUUGGUGCUUUAGAUUCAAUAUUUCUUCUUCAAUUAUCAGAUAUUCUUUCUCUUAUUUUUAAUAAUGAUUUUUUUUAAUUAAUUUUAACCUGUGAUGGGAUUUUUAUUUUAUUUUAUUUUGUUAGAGCUA
RNAcentral lists this unclassified non-coding RNA (3370 nucleotides) under Hevea brasiliensis (rubber tree). Lineage: Eukaryota; Viridiplantae; Streptophyta; Magnoliopsida; Malpighiales; Euphorbiaceae. The record is from RNAcentral.